CCUACGGGAGGCAGCAGUGGGGAAUCUUAGACAAUGGGGGCAACCCUGAUCUAGCCAUGCCGCGUGAGUGAUGAAGGCCUUAGGGUCGUAAAGCUCUUUCGCCUGUGAUGAUAAUGACAGUAGCAGGUAAAGAAACCCCGGCUAACUCCGUGCCAGCAGCCGCGGUAAUACGGAGGGGGUUAGCGUUGUUCGGAAUUACUGGGCGUAAAGCGCGCGUAGGCGGAUUAGAAAGUUGGGGGUGAAAUCCCGAGGCUCAACCUCGGAACUGCCUCCAAAACUGCUAGUCUAGAGUUCGAGAGAGGUGAGUGGAAUUCCGAGUGUAGAGGUGAAAUUCGUAGAUAUUCGGAGGAACACCAGUGGCGAAGGCGGCUCACUGGCUCGAUACUGACGCUGAGGUGCGAAAGUGUGGGGAGCAAACAGGAUUAGAUACCCUGGUAGUCCACACCGUAAACGAUGAAUGCCAGUCGUCGGAUAGUAUACUAUUCGGUGACACACCUAACGGAUUAAGCAUUCCGCCUGGGGAGUACGGUCGCA
RNAcentral lists this ribosomal RNA (534 nucleotides) under uncultured bacterium. RNAcentral describes it as "bacterial SSU rRNA". It matches the Rfam family "Bacterial small subunit ribosomal RNA", at positions 338 to 890 of the family's 1533-position model. The record is from RNAcentral.